RNAcentral lists this long non-coding RNA (270 nucleotides) under Solanum tuberosum (potato). RNAcentral describes it as "long non-coding RNA (STUB_LNC005161)". Lineage: Eukaryota; Viridiplantae; Streptophyta; Magnoliopsida; Solanales; Solanaceae. The record is from RNAcentral.
UCCCGAGCUUCCGUCGUCGGCCUUGGCAUUAAACCACUAUCUAUGCAUGUAUUUUCAGCCUGGACUGACGAAUCUUUUGCUUCUCGGGUGGUGUCGAACAAUGGUGCUUGCGUUGCGGGAGAUGCCCGCCCGUAGGGUCCGGCCUGCUUCCCGCCCAAUAAUCCCAGGGGCUUUCACUUCAACACGUCUUCGCUCGUGAUCGCUUAGGUAUCUAUCAAUUCGAUCAAAUAGACUGAGCAAUUGUCACUGUUUAUAGAUAUUGAAAUGAAC